This 377-nucleotide ribosomal RNA is filed under the name uncultured Acidovorax sp. RNAcentral describes it as "bacterial SSU rRNA". It matches the Rfam family "Bacterial small subunit ribosomal RNA", at positions 1004 to 1382 of the family's 1533-position model. Lineage: Bacteria; Pseudomonadati; Pseudomonadota; Betaproteobacteria; Burkholderiales; Comamonadaceae. The record is from RNAcentral.
AGAGAUGGGUGCCCCUUUGUGGUCGGUGGGACAGGUGGUGCAUGGUUGUCGUCAGCUCGUGUCGUGAGAUGUUGGGUUAAGUCCCGCAACGAGCGCAACCCUCGUCCUAUGUUGCCAGCGGUCAGUGCCGGGACUCAUGGGAGACUGCCGGGUCAACUCGGAGGAAGGUGGGGAUGACGUCAAGUCCUCAUGGCCCUUAUAGGUGGGGCUACACACGUCAUACAAUGGAUGGUACAAAGGGUCGCCAACCCGCGAGGGGGAGCCAAUCCCAUAAAGCCAUUCGUAGUCCGGAUCGCAGUCUGCAACUCGACUGCGUGAAGUCGGAAUCGCUAGUAAUCGUGGAUCAGAACGCCGCGGUGAAUACGUUCUCGGGGUUU